GCCCGGGAAGCGAGCGGAGCGAGCGACCCGGAACGUCUGACUCCGGUUCAAAUCCGGUCCCGCGCA
This 66-nucleotide transfer RNA is filed under the name Halorubrum hochstenium ATCC 700873. RNAcentral describes it as "tRNA-OTHER". Lineage: Archaea; Methanobacteriati; Methanobacteriota; Halobacteria; Halobacteriales; Haloferacaceae. The record is from RNAcentral.